RNAcentral lists this ribosomal RNA (480 nucleotides) under uncultured archaeon. Its description in RNAcentral is "bacterial SSU rRNA". It matches the Rfam family "Archaeal small subunit ribosomal RNA", at positions 376 to 858 of the family's 1478-position model. The record is from RNAcentral.
CUAUCCCGAGUGCCAUCCGCUGAGGAAGGCUUUUACCCAGUCUAGAACGCUGGGGGAAUAAGGAGAGGGCAAGUCUGGUGUCAGCCGCCGCGGUAAUACCAGCUCUCCGAGUGGUGUGGAUGUUUAUUGGGCCUAAAGCAUCCGUAGCUGGCUAGGUAAGUCCCUUGUUAAAUCCACCGAAUUAAUCGUUGGAUCGCGGGGGAUACUACUUGGCUAGGGGACGAGAGAGGCAGACGGUAUUUUCGGGGUAGGGGUGAAAUCCUAUAAUCCCGGGAAGACCACCAGUGGCGAAGGCUGUCUGCUAGAACGCGCCCGACGGUGAGGGAUGAAAGCUGGGGGAGCGAACCGGAUUAGAUACCCGGGUAGUCCCAGCUGUAAACGAUGCAGACUAGGUGUUUGGACGGCCACGUGCCGUUCUAGUGCCGCAGGGAAGCUGUUAAGUCUGCCGCCUGGGGAGUACGAUCGCAAGAUUGAAACUUA